AACGCGAAGAACCUUACCUGGGCUUGAACCGCACAGGACCCUCCCUAGAAAUAGGGACUUCCCGCAAGGGACCUGUGUAGAGGUGCUGCAUGGCUGUCGUCAGCUCGUGCCGUGAGGUGUUGGGUUAAGUCCCGCAACGAGCGCAACCCUUACUCAUAGUUGCUACCCGCAAGGGAGAACUCUAUGAGGACUGCUCCGGAUAACGGAGAGGAAGGUGGGGAUGAGGUCAAGUCAGCAUGGCCUUUAUGUCCAGGGCUACACACGUGUUACAAUGCACGGUACAAAGUGUCGCGAACCCGCGAGGGGGAGCUAAUCGCAAAAAGCCGUGCUCAGUUCGGAUUGCAGUCUGCAACUCGACUGCAUGAAGCCGGAAUCGCUAGUAAUGGCGUAUCAGAUCGACGCCGUGAAUACGUUCCCGGGCCUUGUA
Molecule: ribosomal RNA, 427 nt
Filed under: uncultured Acidobacteriota bacterium
Lineage: Bacteria; Pseudomonadati; Acidobacteriota
Description: bacterial SSU rRNA
Rfam family: Bacterial small subunit ribosomal RNA
Source: RNAcentral